GUGCUGGCUCCAGCUGCACAGAUGCUGAAAUUGGAAUGAUACAGAGAGGAUGGGCAUGGCCUCUGUGCAAGGAUGACACGCAAAUUCGUGAAGCGCUCCAUAUUAAA
Perognathus longimembris pacificus (Pacific pocket mouse) is the source of this 107-nucleotide small nuclear RNA. The record is from RefSeq and is a predicted model, not a curated record. NCBI's taxonomy places the organism in Eukaryota, Metazoa, Chordata, Mammalia, Rodentia, Heteromyidae.